UCUUUCAAUAUAUAAAUACAACGUUGUGAGGUGUUUAUCAAAUUUCAAAUGAAGCGGUUUUGCUAUUGCUUCGACAAUUACCUGUUGUCAUGAACAAUGCGAUAUUGCGCAGCAGUUCAGCAGUCACUGAACUCAUCUUACACCGCUUUACAAAAUCAUCAUCGUCUACAGCAACGCUCAAUCGUGCUUUUACAACCACGGUUACCGAGUUCGGUUACUAUGGACUUGAUGAAAUAUCUGAGGGCGAACGGGAAUAUACACCGGAAAAAAUUUGAAUCGAUAUUCAAACGAUAUGACCAUUCAUUCUCUGAUUGUGAAGUUGUCGAUUUAAAUGAGUUGUUUAAAGAGAGCGAUGAAACACAUAAACCAUCGUGCCGCACAACGAAAAACGAGAGAAAGUGCCGCAAACCUAGAAAGUUAGCGGUAAUCUCUAACAAAAAAUACCCGAGAUAUCAAACAAGGAGUGUAACCAAGAGAAAAUGUUCAAAGUCUACAAAAGGCACCACUAACCGCCUUGCGAGAAAAUCAAAAACAGCGAGAAAAUCAAAAACAGCGCGAAAAUCGAAUGUAAAAGAUUUUCUCCGGAGUCCUUUACCUAAUGGUAAUAUGAUGGGAUCGAUCGUGUCGCGAAACAAAAGUAUGUUCUGUGAACCACCAACCUUUAUGGAUCUAGAUGUUUCGAAUUCAGAUGACAGCGAUAAUAUUUCUGAUGUUGAUACAAACGAUGAAGAUUCUGACAAGAGUCAGUUCUGUACUCCCCCGAGUGUCAUUGAAGUAAGUGGUUUCUGUACUCCACCGACGGUAAUUAACGAAAAGCUGAACGGAAACUUUAACCAGAACAAGGAAAAACAAUCAAAUCUAUGGCAAGAACGCUUCAGCAGACAUUAUGUUCCAGUCAAUAAGUCUAUGCUAACUAAAAAUCAAAGAACCGCAAAAGCUCUUUUAAGAUGGCAGGAGCAUUUUGCUCACAUGUUUCCAAGUGUCUGACGCUCAAGGUGUGAUUAUUGAACCUGGUCUUGAAAUUACCCUCUGGAAGGCCCACAUAUUUCUUCGUCGAAACUGUGUCCUUAGUGGAUAUAGAGUCCACGGUGGCUUCAUACAUGAUGGUCUCGGACAUGUGGAUGUGUGCAGGUCUCCUCCUCUAUAAUGAGACACAGAAUGCAGCAGACUUAUUUUCCAAAAUCUAAUUUAUCAUCAGUAAUUUAUGAGGAAAGAAGCACCAGUUGACUUAGUUAAUGACCAAUGAAUUCUCCAUAAAUAUUGAUCCAAUGCCAAAAUGGAUGGAAACUUAUUUGUUCCUACUUUGAAAGACUUGAUUUUUCUAUCUUUUUAACCAUUCUGCCUCCAUUCUCUGUUUGGAAUAUGAGAAAAUCUAAUAACGUCAAACCAUUGCUAAUGGUCUUUGGUCUUCUUUUAAAUUAUUUUCUCUUGGCUGUCUUGGAAUAUAUUGUUCUUCAAAAUUUAUAUAUUGUAUGGUACUUUGAAAUGGCCAAAGCAAAAUUUUAGAAACAAUGUGAAGAUUUAUUUGUGUUGCUCACUUCUUUUUAUGUCUAACAUUGUGGCUUUUAUAUGGUUGUCUGAAAUAUCAAGUAUUGAAGCAUCUGAGAAUGAUUCGGUCCACUUUUACUGGUGCUAAACAUUCCUGCUGCACAUAUGGAAGAAAUGUGACUGUUACCGUUAAUUGACUAACUUGGAGAAAUUUCAUUCAACUCCUGUUGUAACUAAUUUAAAAAACAGAGAAAUAUAUAGUCUGAUCAAUAAGUAUGCGGACUGUUGCUAUAGUAACAAAGCUAAAGCACAGAGAGUGAAGUCACUUGGCACAAAUUGACCUUGAAUUCUGUUGUGUAUGUAUACUAAGUUUUAACAUUCUUGCUCACUUCCGCUGUUUACAGCAGUGCUUGGAAGAAAGGUGUGUAGUGUGAGCUAGAAUGUUAAAACUUAGUGCACAUGCACAGCAGAGUUCAAGGUUUAUCUGUGCCAAGCGGUUUCACUCUGUGUGUUUUAGCUUCGUUACUAUGGCAACAGUCCCAAUACUUAUUGAUCAGACAUUGUAAAUUUGCCAUAAAUGGUAGGAUGCUGAUCUAAAAACCAUGUGUGAAUCAAGUUUCACAGAAUUCCUUGUCUUUUAAUUGAAUCCCUUUACCUUCUGAGAUUGGAUUCUACCAAGGUCAGCUUUGCUUUUCAUUCUUCCGAUGUUGAUAUAAUCAAUUACAACUCCCAUUCUCACUCACAAAAAGUGUACUUUUUUACAUUUUAAUUAACAUGUACAUUUAGUCCAUACUCAACUUUCAUCGAUAUUUGCACCCUAUAUCAUGUUCAAAACAAGUCAAUAUUUAUAAACUGAAUUAUUUUAAUUGUAUAAUUUCACUGACAAAUUUUUCUUGUUGAUUAUUAUCCCAAUUUAAAUUUAAAAUUUUGUUACAAUGUUUUUUUUUUAUUUGUUGUUUUAUUCUUUUUUUUAUUAAUUGUUUACUAAUAUCAGCAAUGCUUUUAAAUUCCUAUACGUAGAACAUUUGAAGGACUUUGGUUCAGGCAUUUUAAUUUUAUUUAUUACUUCAUAAGAUUUGUGUGACCAAAAAGUACACAGUUUCUUUAUAUAUACAUUACUAACAAAAGGUCUUAAGACCAUCCUGAAAUAUUAAUGUCCAGCUUCAUGCAGGAUUUAGAUCAUAAAAUUCCAAAAUAACAACUAUAUACUUUUUCAAUAUGUUAUUUAGCUGCACAGUACUAAAACAAUCAGAAAUUUGAUUCUUCAAAGUGACCUUUCAGUAAAAUGGCUACUGACAUUUAGUAGUUACAAUUUCCUUGUUGAGUGUGGCAGAACCUGAAAAUAAUCUGACGUUUUGCUGUUGCAGUUCGUGUUGCAUACAAAUGGCACAGAUGUCACUGAAACAUUUACUUUAACUUUUGAGGUGGGACAGGCCGGAAGUAGAACUGUUGAAUAUACAGAAAAAGGAAUAGAUGAGAAUUCCAAGCAGUAUCUAAUGUAAAGCAGGGUAUAAAAGAACAAGUCUUUGUUAACUGAAUCCUUCUGUCUUGCGGAUUUAACAUCUCUGUUAGAAAGGAUGUUGAAGCUGCAAAAAACUUGCUUUGGAACCUUUUUGGCUGAAUCUCAUAAAAAAAUUCUAUCACUAUUUUUAGGCACAGACUUUGCUGUGUGGUUGAAAAGCUUGCUUCAGAAACAUGGUCUUGGGUUCAUCCCACUGUGUGGCUUUUGGGUCUUCUGCUAGUCCUAGGCUGAUGAAAGCCUUGCGAAUGGAUAUGGUAGAUGGACUGAAAAAAGCCCAUGGUAUAUAUAUAUAUAUAGUGCAAGAGAGUUAGGGGUUGAGGAUUCAAUCCACUAAGGGAUAGUAUCUAUCCAACUGGGAGGGUACCCAAUUAUUGUUACACUAGUGUUAUACCAAGUGUAAUAAGUGGGUGUGGGUAAAAGGGGGUUAUUUUACCCUAAAUUUAUAUACCGCAUAUUCUCCUCCAUUUUCUUAUUGCUAUAUAUAUAUAUAUAUACACACUCACACGUGUGUUUGUCUCCCAUCAAAGCUUAACGACUUGUGUUGGUUUGUUCAUGUUUCCAUAACUUCACAGUUUGUUGAAGGUAACUGACAGAAUAAGUACUAGGAUUUAAGAAAAUAAGUCCUGUAGUCAAUUUAUUUGACUAAAACACAUCAAGGCAGUGCCCCAGCGUGGCCACAGUCCAAUGACUGAAAUGGGUAAAAGAUAAAAUGUGUAUUUUGAUAAUUGUUUUUGUUGUUUUACAUGUACUGGUUUGUUUGAGACUGCUUUCUAACAAAACAAUAUGGAUGUGAUACGAUCUGUUUGAAUCUGUGUAGUCUUCCUGUAGGCAUGAAAGCAUGUAAAUUGAAGCACGAGUCAGCUGGAGAAAAAAAUAUGCAGAAGGGAACACUUACAGUAUUAUCUGGUGUGCAAAGAAAUGUUGAUUCAAACAUCCAGUUA
This is an RNA transcript of Octopus bimaculoides (California two-spot octopus), 3951 nucleotides long. RefSeq lists it as uncharacterized. Lineage: Eukaryota; Metazoa; Mollusca; Cephalopoda; Octopoda; Octopodidae. The record is from RefSeq and is a predicted model, not a curated record.